AUUGAACGCUGGCGGCAGGCCUAACACAUGCAAGUCGAACGAGUGGCGGACGGGUGAGUAAUGUCUGGGAAACUGCCCGAUGGAGGGGGCUAACUACUGGAAAAGGUAGCUAAUACCGCAUACCAUCGGAUGUGCCCAGAUGGGAUUAUCUAGAAGGUGGGGUAAUGGCUCAACUAGGCGACGAUCCCUAGCUGGUCUGAGAGGAUGACCAGCCACACUGUAACUGAUCCACGGUCCAUACUCCUACGGUAGGCAGCAGUGGGGAAUAUUGCACAAUGGGCGCAAGCCUGAUGCAGCCAUGCCGCGUGUAUGAAGAAGGCCUUCGGGUUGUAAAGUACUUUCAGCGAGGAGGCGUUACUCGCAGAAGAAGCACCGGCUAACUCCGUGCCAGCAGCCGCGGUAAUUC
This 406-nucleotide ribosomal RNA is filed under the name uncultured bacterium. RNAcentral describes it as "partial 16S ribosomal RNA". It matches the Rfam family "Bacterial small subunit ribosomal RNA", at positions 30 to 526 of the family's 1533-position model. The record is from RNAcentral.